CCAUAGUGCAUCCUGGUGCCAGGUGUUCCCCAGGUGAGAACAUUGUUCAUCAUCCAAAUCUGAAUCAGGUGUUCACAGUCGACCCUGCUGCGCCUCCCGUCGAAGAAACCACCAGCCAAGAAACCUACGGAACACAAGGAAUCGAUACAAAGUUUUUCAAGGACGUACGAUGGCAGAAGUCAAAUCUACAAAUGGAUUCUGUAUUUCUAGUUCUGUUGGCUAUGACAAUGCACUUUUUUUUUACAGUUGACCUUAAAUGUUACAUUACACAGUGUCCCUGGUUUGUACCUUUCCUCUGUGUCCAAGAACUGACAGUUCUCGAACACUCCUGUUCUUUUGUUUGGUUAAUAAUGCACCGUUACAACUCUAACCACCAGGGUUAGAGCUGCCAUGCCAGAGCCCACAAAUGAAUCACAGAAAAGCACUAAAUCAAAGAUUGCAACACAGAAAGAGACACAAAAUACUGAAGACAUGCCAAAGACUGGGAGUCUAUAGUGCAUGUAUGUAGCUAGGUAAAUGAAAGCAUGACAUGAACUUUGAAUGGUAAAAACCAAAUAUCCAGUUGGCACCAGCAACACAGACUAUCAAAGGCAUGAUAGAGGCAUGAUCGAGGAAAUGCAGGCGUGUGUGUGUGUGUGUGUGUGUGUGUGUGUGUGUGUGUGUGUGUGUGU
Molecule: long non-coding RNA, 671 nt
Organism: Pundamilia nyererei
Lineage: Eukaryota; Metazoa; Chordata; Actinopteri; Cichliformes; Cichlidae
Exons: 3
Source: RefSeq, a predicted model, not a curated record